This is a long non-coding RNA of Hippoglossus stenolepis (Pacific halibut), 564 nucleotides long. RefSeq lists it as uncharacterized. The transcript is spliced from 3 exons. The record is from RefSeq and is a predicted model, not a curated record. Lineage: Eukaryota; Metazoa; Chordata; Actinopteri; Pleuronectiformes; Pleuronectidae.
CUCACAUCCUCUGCAGGCGGCCAUAAUGGACUCUCAUCACACUCGUAUUGAAACACGAUCAACGCAUAUCAGCCGCUGACGGCUCAGACGGCCCCAAACCAGACUAACGCCUCAGAGACAAAGGGAAACGUUUGGUCCUCGUUUGAUUGAUCGGGGGAUUAUCCAAAAUCUACUGAGGGUGGAGUACGAGCCAAUGAAGAACCCAUUGACUUUAGACCUGCCACCAAGACACCUCUGGACACGGAAUCGAAUCAUCCUCCUCCUGUGAUGAGUCCUGGGACGAUGGCUCUCGGUCAGUUGUUGGCAAGUCUAGAACCACCGGAUCCUUCCAGUCCACCAGAGUGAGUUCUACCAUUGCCAAACACUGUGGGAGAGUCAAUGCCACCAGAUCUGUGUGAUGACUGAGGAUCAGGUUACAUGGGACAGCGUCUCAGAGAUAGAGCACAAGCGGGGGGCCUCCAUCGCAACCGUUGAUAUCUGAGAUGCACGGCACAAUCGAUCGGAUCCAUCGUUCAUCCUUCCCUCCCUCUCCAGUCUGGUUGUUUCUCUCACACAGAAAAAUAU